GCCGUCGUGGUGGAAUUGGUAGACACGCCGUCUUGAGGGGGCGGUGCCGAAAGGCGUAAGAGUUCGAGUCUCUUCGACGGCACCA
This 85-nucleotide transfer RNA is filed under the name Usitatibacter palustris. RNAcentral's name for it is "Nitrosomonadales bacterium Swamp67 tRNA-Leu". It matches the Rfam family "tRNA". From Rfam's summary of the family: Transfer RNA (tRNA) molecules are approximately 80 nucleotides in length. RNAcentral also lists the same sequence under 2 other names. Lineage: Bacteria; Pseudomonadati; Pseudomonadota; Betaproteobacteria; Nitrosomonadales; Usitatibacteraceae. The record is from RNAcentral.